RNAcentral lists this transfer RNA (84 nucleotides) under Planctomycetota bacterium. RNAcentral describes it as "tRNA-Leu". It matches the Rfam family "tRNA". Rfam says of the family: Transfer RNA (tRNA) molecules are approximately 80 nucleotides in length. The record is from RNAcentral. Lineage: Bacteria; Pseudomonadati; Planctomycetota.
GCCGAAGUGGCGAAAUUGGCAGACGCGCCAGCUUGAGGUGCUGGUUCUCGCAAGGGAGUGCAGGUUCAAGUCCUGUCUUCGGCA